AGAGUUUGAUCCUGGCUCAGGAUGAACGCUAGCGGCAGGCUUAAUACAUGCAAGUCGAGGGGCAGCACAGGUAGCAAUACCGGGUGGCGACCGGCAAACGGGUGCGGAACACGUACGCAAUCUUCCUUUAAGCGGGGAAUAGCCCAGGGAAACUUGGAUUAAUACCCCAUAAUAUUUUCGAAUGGCAUCAUUUGAUUAUUAAAGCUCCGGCACUUAAAGAUGAGCGUGCGACUGAUUAGGUAGUUGGCGGGGUAACGGCCCACCAAGCCAACGAUCAGUAACUGGUGUGAGAGCACGACCAGUCACACGGGCACUGAGACACGGGCCCGACUCCUACGGGAGGCAGCAGUAAGGAAUAUUGGUCAAUGGACGCAAGUCUGAACCAGCCAUGCCGCGUGGAGGAUGAAGGCCCUCUGGGUUGUAAACUUCUUUUAUUGGGGAAGAAACCUGUUUUUUCUAAAGCAGUUGACGGUACCCAUUGAAUAAGCACCGGCUAACUCCGUGCCAGCAGCCGCGGUAAUACGGAGGGUGCAAGCGUUAUCCGGAUUCACUGGGUUUAAAGGGUGCGUAGGUGGGUAGGUAAGUCAGUGGUGAAAUCUCUAAGCUUAACUUAGAAACUGCCGUUGAUACUAUUUAUCUUGAAUAUAGUGGAGGUGAGCGGAAUAUGUCAUGUAGCGGUGAAAUGCUUAGAUAUGACAUAGAACACCCAUUGCGAAGGCAGCUCGCUACACUAUUAUUGACACUGAGGCACGAAAGCGUGGGGAUCAAACAGGAUUAGAUACCCUAGUAGUCC
This 793-nucleotide ribosomal RNA is filed under the name uncultured bacterium. RNAcentral's name for it is "bacterial SSU rRNA". It matches the Rfam family "Bacterial small subunit ribosomal RNA", at positions 8 to 796 of the family's 1533-position model. The record is from RNAcentral.